Loxodonta africana (African savanna elephant) is the source of this 1745-nucleotide RNA transcript. It is a transcript of the gene named biogenesis of lysosomal organelles complex 1 subunit 6, with no coding region annotated. Lineage: Eukaryota; Metazoa; Chordata; Mammalia; Proboscidea; Elephantidae. The transcript is spliced from 6 exons. The record is from RefSeq and is a predicted model, not a curated record.
UCCGCCCCAUCACUUCCGGGUGCGACCACCGCUUCUGUCCGGCCGGGCUCCUGGGGCGGUCGGCACGGCAUUCCUUCUUCCGUCCGUUCUGGCUCCUGCCCCUUCCCUGCUCGCAGCCGGAGGGUCAUGAGUGUCCCUGAGCCGCCGCCCCCGGACGGGGACCUGACCGGGCUGCCCGACGGCUCGGGGGCCGGGGAGCCGACGCCGGAUGUAAGUGACACUUCUCCGGAUGAAGUAUUGUUAGAGGCCUUGACCAUAGAAGACAGAGCCGUGGAGCAGCUGGCAGAAGGGUUGCUCUCUCACUAUUUGCCAGAUCUGCAGAGAUCAAAACAAGCCCUCCAGGAACUCACACAGAACCAAGUUGUACUAUUAGACACACUGGAACAAGAGAUUUCAAAAUUUAAAGAAUGUCAUUCUAUGUUGGAUAUUAAUGCUUUGUUCACUGAAGCUAAACACUAUCAUACCAAGUUAGUGAACAUAAGAAAAGAGAUGCUGAUGCUUCAUGAGAAGACGGCAAAGUUGAAAAAAAGAGCACUUAAACUGCAGCAGAAAAGGCAGAAAGAGGAGUUGGAAAGGGAGCAGCAACGAGAGAAGGAAUUUGAAAGAGAAAAGCAGUUAACUGCCAAACCAGCUAAGAGGACGUGAACACUUGAAUGUGUCGGUGUGUGUGUGUGUUUUCUUUGCUUAUCCCAUAGUCUGGAUUUACAACGACCCAAGUGUAACUGGAGUUAAGGUAGUGCCUUAUUCCACUGUUACAUCUUGAAAUCCUUUUCGGGAUCGCUGUGUCUCCUUAGCUUCAUUGCAGCUAUUUUUCUAAGGAGUAGGUGAUUCUGGUGUACCCUAAAGAUGAGGAUCACUAGUCUGAUGGUCAAGGUUCCCACACCAGACUGCAUACUGUUAUUACCUUGGAACUUUUAAAGAAUACAGACACUCCUAGACCUCAGUAGUUCUAAGGUGGAGCCUGCAAUCUGUAUUUUUCGAAGAGCUUCCUAGAUACUUAUGAUGCAGGGAACCCUUGGUCUAGGCUAUCUAGUGAUUUAUAUAAGCAGUGAAAUAAUUUAAAAACUAUCCAGUAACUCUUGGGAUUAAUCUUAUGAAAUAAAUUCUGGACCGUUGCUAUUGAUAUAAAUCAGAUUUAAGACUGAACCCUAGCAGAUGGGAAAUAGAUGUAGGAUUCUGGUUAAUUAAUCGAACUUUUGUGAGCUGUAUUAGAUUAUGUUUAUUGAAUGAAUGGGCAAAAUGUACAUUUUCAGAAUUGCAUUAUGUAAAUUUUGAAAACUUUUAAAAAUGUUAAAAAGAAUAGAUAUAUCAGGAUCUACUAUUUAAUCAGAAGUACUGUUGAUAAUUAAAAUCUAAAACUUUAUCUGUAUUUCAGUAACAUAGAGAUACUUCUUUACUGACUGAGCCUAAAUGGAAAUACUUAGACUUGCUGUAUUUUUGCAUAAGAUAGUGAAUUGGUGCUUGAGAGACUUCUGUUUUUUAGUUGGAAAAAAUUGCCUUUGUUUUGAAACUGUAUCACAAAUGUACUGAACUAAAACGUUGGGAUUUCAUUUCGUAUUUUACUUUGCAGUAGGUAUCAUGUAAAUAUGCAGAUGUUGCAUGUAAUAUAGAUUGUGUUCACUGUGAGUUUUUGAGUGGAUACAUUUUACAAAUAUGCCAAUUAUACACCUUCAUACAGUAGUCUGUUUCUCAGCUUGUAAAUGAUAACUACUUCUUAUAUAUUUAAUAAAAAAAAAGGCUCUGAA